Long non-coding RNA from Zingiber officinale, 386 nucleotides. RefSeq lists it as uncharacterized. The record is from RefSeq and is a predicted model, not a curated record. The transcript is spliced from 2 exons. NCBI's taxonomy places the organism in Eukaryota, Viridiplantae, Streptophyta, Magnoliopsida, Zingiberales, Zingiberaceae.
CCGGCGGAUUAAAAAUCAUGAAUUUCGGCGAUCCGUAUAGCGAACACAAAUUGCGCAGCUAGCCGCCAUCGAAAAUUCUGAUCAAAGUAUGUCUCACAAGGUCGUCUCCGUCGCCGCCGGAGAAGCUCACACUCUCGUUCUUACUGCGGAUGGAAGCUUGUUCUCUUGGGGAAGGGGGACAUUUGGGCGGCUCGGCACCAGUAAGGAAGACGACGAGCUCUUUCCGGUUCCAAUUCCAUCUUUUGCUAGUUCGAACGUGUCACAAGCCAACUACAUAGGGAUUGCUACAGGGGACAUUUGUGUUGUAUUUCGAAUGCAAAAACCAACGUAUUCGAGUAGAAAGUAAAUUAUGUUUUCAUGUCCUAAAUUUUCGAUUAAUUUAUUUA